This 89-nucleotide transfer RNA is filed under the name Clostridia bacterium. RNAcentral's name for it is "tRNA-Leu". It matches the Rfam family "tRNA". From Rfam's summary of the family: Transfer RNA (tRNA) molecules are approximately 80 nucleotides in length. Lineage: Bacteria; Bacillati; Bacillota; Clostridia. The record is from RNAcentral. RNAcentral also lists the same sequence under 1 other name.
GCCGGAAUGGCGGAAUUGGCAGACGCCCGGGACUUAAAAUCCCGUGAGAUUAAUUUCUCGUACCGGUUCGACCCCGGCUUCCGGCACCA